UCCUUACGUCUAUUAAAGCCUCUGUUCAGCUAAGCAGCAGUCACUGAUUGCUUUAAGAACAACUAAAUGAAGCCAUCUGUAAGGGGUUGUGUCAAGGAUCUCUAGCUGAAUUCUUUAAAACCCACCUCUGGGCUAAGGAGCCGUGGUUCUCAAAAGUGGAGUAAAGUGCAAAUAUUUUGAAGGUGCUUGAUUUAUCCUGUUAAACGGCUGUCCUAAAAUAUUGUAGAGAUGCAGGAUAUGCCAAUAGAAAGAGUACUUUUUAAUAGUUGCUGUGGUUUUCCUUAUAAAAAAAAUACAUAGCUGUUAUUAAAUGUGGGGCCUUUAUUUACUUU
Rattus rattus (black rat) is the source of this 332-nucleotide long non-coding RNA. RefSeq lists it as uncharacterized. NCBI's taxonomy places the organism in Eukaryota, Metazoa, Chordata, Mammalia, Rodentia, Muridae. The transcript is spliced from 3 exons. The record is from RefSeq and is a predicted model, not a curated record.